This is a non-coding RNA of Phalacrocorax carbo (great cormorant), 2297 nucleotides long. Lineage: Eukaryota; Metazoa; Chordata; Aves; Suliformes; Phalacrocoracidae. The record is from RefSeq and is a predicted model, not a curated record.
CGCUUGGACGGGCUGGGGUGGGACUCUUUUCCCUCGGGCUGGCCGGCGGAAGGAUCGCGCGGAGGUAGCGCGUGAUGAAGCCGCUCCCCGUCGUCCCGCCGCCGCGCCUGCGCGCACGGGAGGCUGCUCGCCUCCGCGAGGGAGCGGAGAGGGGCUCCGGCGGCGGCUCCCCGGCCCGGCUGCGGGGCUGGCGGCUCCUUCGCUCGGAGGAGGCAGCGGGGAAGGCCCCGCUGGGCCGGUCAGAUGCACCGCCCGCCCUCCGCCCACCGUUCCCCUGCAAGCGGGGUUGUGGGCGCUCACGGCCUCCCUCUGCUCCUUCCAGCAGCCCCCGCCAUCAAAGGGGGGUUAAGUUCGCCCCCCCUCAGUGACGCUUUGGCAGCAGAUGGCCUGCUCUGCCUGGCAGUCCCACUGACAUAGCGAAAGGUAGAGAUGCCUCAAGUGCCAGGGAAGCUGAGAAGUUGUCUCCCAGCUCCAUUUAUUCCUUUUGUCCGCUCCACUUAAGAACUGGACAACUAAACUUACAUAAAAUUUGGUGAGGAGCAGAGCUCUCGUCGGAAGUCACCUUCAUCCCGAAAGAGGAAGGGCCCAGAGCAUCUCUGCUGCCUGCCCUUAGGCAGGCUGAGCUUGGGCCGUUGGUGGAGGAAGCCCUUGCAGAGGCAUUCGAGCACCCAUCAAAGCAGUCAGGAGAGAGGCACAGUUUGCGAAACAAUGUUGUGGAACGUUGGGAAGAGCAACAGAAGGAAACAAGGAGAAUCCUAAAGAAUAGUUUAUGGUGAAAUUACCUGAGAAGUCUUUGCUCGGCUUCCUGGAGUAAGUGCUCAUCAAAUAAAAAUCAGCAGCGCAUAGGAGCUCACAGAGAGGAAUGAAAUGGGUUCGAGCACUGAACUGCCUUUGACCUCCGUGAAAACUGAACUACCCAAAAUCGCUAGUUAUUUUUGCAAAUCUUACCCUUUCUGUGCAAUGAAUCAAUCAAUGGAAUGCUAAUUUUCCAAGUAGUGUGGAAGUCAGGACGUGCGAAUGAUAAGACUGCAUUAGCUACGUAGCUUACGUUCUACUGUACCUUAGCUAUGCUUGUUCUUAGAGGCAGUAAUGAAUUGCGCUUUGAAGAAAAAUAAUCUAGUUUUCCUGAAGUAUGUGGCAAAGGAAAAAAAGAAACUAGAUGCUGUCUCCUUCAUUUCUUUCAGCUUAAGACGUAGAUUUACACUGCAGCUGGACAGACAAACCCUGGCUUCAGUUUCACAAACAGAAUUCAGCUGUUCUGUGCGUGAAACUGAAGCUAAAUUGUUGUCCUGGCAUGGAAAAGGAAAAAGCAUCUGGCCAGUAAGAGAGGCUAGAAGCAAGCGAGCCCCCUUUCCAAAGUACUCUACGUUGGUUUACUUCAUCCAAAAUGGAUGAGAAAAAAAAGCAGCCUGAACUCCCUGUCCAAAUACUUGUCAGCUUUAGGAAAAAAAAAAAGUUUAACAAAAAGAUAAAAUAGUUUGCACACUAAGUGUCUUGGUUACCUAGACGCAUUUUUAAAUAAAGAUAACAGAAAGAGCAGCCAUGGCUUGUGUGUAGCUUGCACCGUCAACAACUCGUGCAGUUGUGCAAUCUGUUCUGCCUCUUUUAAAUCAAUUGUCAGUUUUAGUGCUCUCCCUUAUCAGAAGCUAUCACCUGUCACGCAGGGAGAGGCGGUCUCAGGUAUGCAGCCACUUGGUUUUGACUCUUAAGUCUGCAGAAUCGCAUGUUAAAAGAGGUCUGUUGACAUUAGAAAUCAUCAGAAGCUGAAUCACAGGAGUGCCAGAUCAAGUCUAACGUCUCCACGGCCUCGAAGGACUUUGUAGCUGUUACCACACCGCUUUCCGACAGUCUCUCGCAACUUCUUCCGAACAGCAGGAAUAUAAAUUAUUUACUAGGAAAACAAACCCUGCUCUUUGAGCUGACAAAGAUUCCCUUACUGUCUGUUCUCACCGCAGAGCUUCCUGAACCACCAAGACGCGCUUCUGCUUUCAUCCAGAACAGUGAAGUACGUGCGUACUUUUAGCAAAUCAAGUACCUCUUUCACAUUCGGUAAUUAAUUCAGAGAGGAGAACUGCAAGCACUGAAUUAACCUUUUUACCUGAUUUAUUUUUACUGAAUAAACGGCCCUAUAAUCUAAUUUUCUCAACCAGAACAGAUAUUUUCUGCGGUUUGCUUUACGAUUUGGAACAUGAUCUAAUCUAUUCCAAAUAUAUUCCAUUUAACUUGGUAACGUAAAACCUUCAGACCGUGUCCCUCACCCUAGGGAUCGCACCUGUAAAUCAGUCGUUCUUCCUAGA